RNAcentral lists this ribosomal RNA (547 nucleotides) under uncultured bacterium. RNAcentral describes it as "bacterial SSU rRNA". It matches the Rfam family "Bacterial small subunit ribosomal RNA", at positions 355 to 896 of the family's 1533-position model. The record is from RNAcentral.
UGGGGAAUAUUGCGCAAUGGGGGGAACCCUGACGCAGCCAUGCCGCGUGAAUGAAGAAGGCCUUAGGGUUGUAAAGUUCUUUCGGUAUUGAGGAAGGUUGAUGUGUUAAUAGCACAUCAAAUUGACGUUAAAUACAGAAGAAGCACCGGCUAACUCCGUGCCAGCAGCCGCGGUAAUACGGAGGGUGCGAGCGUUAAUCGGAAUAACUGGGCGUAAAGGGCACGCAGGCGGUUAUUUAAGUGAGGUGUGAAAGCCCCGGGCUUAACCUGGGAAUUGCAUUUCAGACUGGGUAACUAGAGUACUUUAGGGAGGGGUAGAAUUCCACGUGUAGCGGUGAAAUGCGUAGAGAUGUGGAGGAAUACCGAAGGCGAAGGCAGCCCCUUGGGAAUGUACUGACGCUCAUGUGCGAAAGCGUGGGGAGCAAACAGGAUUAGAUACCCUGGUAGUCCACGCUGUAAACGCUGUCGAUUUGGGGGUUAGGGUUUAACUCUGGCGCCCGUAGCUAACGUGAUAAAUCGACCGCCUGGGGAGUACGGCCGCAAGGUUA